Long non-coding RNA from Dreissena polymorpha, 951 nucleotides. RefSeq lists it as uncharacterized. NCBI's taxonomy places the organism in Eukaryota, Metazoa, Mollusca, Bivalvia, Myida, Dreissenidae. The transcript has 3 exons. The record is from RefSeq and is a predicted model, not a curated record.
UAUGUCUGCUGCUAAUCUAUUGGUUAUAAAAUAUCACAGCCUUUUCUGAUUGGCUGAGUUCAAAUACAGAAAGUUUACCUGUUAGAUUGAAAUUCUGGCGUAUUGUAGAAAAUUUGCAGGUUAAUCUUGUUGUUAAAAUGAAGUUAAUGUAAUGUUCACAAACAGUAGAGUUAAUGAGUUUUUCCAUUAACAAGAAUUUCUUAAAAUAAUAAUGUAUGGAUAUCAUUUGGAAAGUGACAUGAAAUGUUGUUAAAAAGUGAUGCAUACAAGUGUUUCAGAAGUCUGUCUAGGAAUAGAACAACAACUGAAGCUGACCAGUUGAUGGAAGAUACUGCAGAGUUUGGCAGGGAAAUAACCCAAGACAGCAAAGCGGCUCUUUUGGCGCAUUUACCAAGAGGACUAACAUGGCCACAAAUUCAUGAGAUCAUGCAGGAGCCGUACAGUAUAACAGCAGUACAAGUUCUAUAAAAGAUCCACGACCUACUGAAGCCCAGCUAAUUAACAAAAAAGUUUUUAAAAACUGUAAUUUUAUCCCACCUGGGUACUUAUAAUUUACUAAGCUGCCUUCACAAGUUUUAGACUUGCAAUUAUAUUUUAAACUGUCACUUGGAAAGUAAUACAUGUACAUGCAUUAUGUUCUGAAUUUCUUUGAACAAUAAAAUUAUAUAAAAGUAUUUUAAUGAAAUUGAGCACCUAAAUUGCAUUAAAGUGAAAGUAGCUGAGAAAAAUAGUAUCCUUGUGCUCAUGGGCAGCUACAUAUAUUGUGACAAACAUGAAGUAGCUAAAAUAACUUAAAUUUUUCAUUUUGUUUCUUGUAUAUCGUUUGUACAGGGUUCGUGAAUUGUUACUGUAUAUUACUUGACUUGCUUGUAUUUUGUUACUUUGAAUACAUGUUGUUAAGGUUGCAUUAUACUUUUUAACUUUUAAAGUAGCGCCUGUUCUGUUAUGUAA